AGUGAACGCUGGCGGUAUGCCUAACACAUGCAAGUCGAACGGCAGCACAGUAUGAUCUUGCUCUUACGGGUGGCGAGUGGCGGACGGGUGAGGAAUACAUCGGAAUCUACUUUUUCGUGGGGGAUAACGGAGGGAAACUGACGCUAAUACCUCAUACGACCUACGGGUGAAAGCAGGGGAUCUUCGGACCUUGCGCGAUUGAAUGAGCCGAUGUCGGAUUAGUUAGUUGGCGGGGUAAAGGCCCACCAAGGCGACCAUCCGUACCUGGUCUGAGAGGAUGGUCAGCCACACUGGAACUGAGCCACGGUCAAGAUUCCAACGGGAGGAAGCAGUGGGGAAUAUUGGACAAUGGGGACAAGCUUGAUCCAGACCUACCGCGUAGGGAAAGAAGGCCUUCGGGUGUUAAAGCCCUUUUGUUGGGAAAGAAGAGCAGCAGGUUAAUAACCCGCUGUUCUGACGGUAACCACAGAAUAAGCACCGGCUAACUUCGUG
Molecule: ribosomal RNA, 492 nt
Filed under: uncultured bacterium
Lineage: Bacteria
Description: partial 16S ribosomal RNA
Rfam family: Bacterial small subunit ribosomal RNA
Source: RNAcentral